GACGAACGCUGGCGGCGUGCUUAACACAUGCAAGUCGAACGGAAAGGCCCUGCUUUUGUGGGGUGCUCGAGUGGCGAACGGGUGAGUAACACGUGAGUAACCUUCCCUUGACUUUGGGAUAACUUCAGGAAACUGGUGCUAAUACCGGAUAGGAGCUCCUGCUUCAUGGUUUGGGUUGGUAAGUUUCGGCGGUUGGGUAUGGACUCGCGGCUUAUCAGCUUGUUGGUGGGGUAGUGGCUUACCAAGGCUUUGACGGGUAGCCGGCCUGAGAGGGUGACCGGCCACAUUGGGACUGAGAUACGGCCCAGACGACAACGGGAGGCAGCAGUGGGGAAUAUUGCACAAUGGGCGGAAGCCUGAUGCAGCAACGCCGCGUGCGGGAUGACGGCCUUCGGGUUGUAAACCGCUUUCGCCUGUGACGAAGCGUGAGUGACGGUAAUGGGUAAAGAAGCACCGGCUAACUACGUG
Molecule: ribosomal RNA, 468 nt
Filed under: uncultured bacterium
Lineage: Bacteria
Description: partial 16S ribosomal RNA
Rfam family: Bacterial small subunit ribosomal RNA
Source: RNAcentral